UAGGGGGUAGAGCACUGUUUCGGCUAGGGGGUCAUCCCGACUUACCAAACCGAUGCAAACUCCGAAUACCUAUGAGUACUAUCCGGGAGACAGACUGCGGGUGCUAACGUCCGUAGUCAAGAGGAAAACAAUCCAGACCGCCAGCUAAGGCCCCAAAAUCAUAGUUAAGUGGGAAACGAUGUGGGAAGGCAUAGACAGCUAGGAGGUUGGCUUAGAAGCAGCCACCCUUUAAAGAAAGCGUAAUAGCUCACUAGUCGAGUCGGCCUGCGCGGAAGAUGUAACGGGGCUAAAACUAUGUGCCGAAGCUGCGGAUUUGACAUUAGUCAAGUGGUAGGGGAGCGUUCUGUAAGCCGAUGAAGG
This 360-nucleotide ribosomal RNA is filed under the name Acinetobacter baumannii. RNAcentral describes it as "bacterial LSU rRNA". It matches the Rfam family "Bacterial large subunit ribosomal RNA", at positions 896 to 1256 of the family's 2925-position model. Lineage: Bacteria; Pseudomonadati; Pseudomonadota; Gammaproteobacteria; Moraxellales; Moraxellaceae. The record is from RNAcentral.